GACGAACGCUGGCGGCGUGCUUAACACAUGCAAGUCGAGCGGUAAGGCCCUUUCGGGGGUACACGAGCGGCGAACGGGUGAGUAACACGUGGGUGACCUGCCCUCAGCUCUGGGAUAAGCCUGGGAAACCGGGUCUAAUACUGGAUAUGACUCCAUGACGCAUGUUGUGGGGUGGAAAGCCUUGUGCGGCUGAGGAUGGGCCCGCGGCCUAUCAGCUUGUUGGUGGGGNGAUGGCCUACCGAGGCGACGACGGGUAGCCGGCCUGAGAGGGCGACCGGCCACACUGGGACUGAGACACGGCCCAGACUCCUACGGGAGGCAGCAGUGGGGAAUCUUGCGCAAUGGGCGAAAGCCUGACGCAGCGACGCCGCGUGAGGGAUGACGGCCU
RNAcentral lists this ribosomal RNA (388 nucleotides) under uncultured bacterium. RNAcentral's name for it is "bacterial SSU rRNA". It matches the Rfam family "Bacterial small subunit ribosomal RNA", at positions 28 to 417 of the family's 1533-position model. The record is from RNAcentral.